GAUCCUGGCUCAGGAUGAACGCUAGCUACAGGCUUAACACAUGCAAGUCGAGGGGAAACGACAUCGAAAGCUUGCUUUUGAUGGGUGUCGACCGGCGCACGGGUGAGUAACGCGUAUCCAACCUGCCCACCACUUGGGAAUAACCUUGCGAAAGUAAGACUAAUGCCCAAUGACAUUUAUAGAAGGCAUCUGAAAUGAAUUAAAGAUUUAUCGGUGAUGGAUGGGGAUGCGUCUGAUUAGCUUGUUGGCGGGGUAACGGCCCACCAAGGCGACGAUCAGUAGGGGUUCUGAGAGGAAGGUCCCCCACAUUGGAGCUGAGACACGGUCCAAACUCCUACGGGAGGCAGCAGUGAGGAAUAUUGGUCAAUGGGCGAGAGCCUGAACCAGCCAAGUAGCGUGCAGGAAGACGGCCCUAUGGGUUGUAAACUGCUUUUAUAGGGGAAUAAAGUGAGCCACGUGUGGUUUUUUGCAUGUACCCUAUGAAUAAGGACCGGCUAAUUCCGUG
RNAcentral lists this ribosomal RNA (505 nucleotides) under uncultured bacterium. RNAcentral's name for it is "bacterial SSU rRNA". It matches the Rfam family "Bacterial small subunit ribosomal RNA", at positions 15 to 507 of the family's 1533-position model. The record is from RNAcentral.